Molecule: ribosomal RNA, 467 nt
Filed under: uncultured bacterium
Lineage: Bacteria
Description: partial 16S ribosomal RNA
Rfam family: Bacterial small subunit ribosomal RNA
Source: RNAcentral
GACGAACGCUGGCGGCGUGCUUAACACAUGCCAGUCGAACGGUGAUGCUCCAGCUUGCUGGAGUGGAUCAGUGGCGAACGGGUGAGUAACACGUGAGCAACCUGCCCCAGACUCUGGAAUAAGCGCUGGAAACGGCGUCUAAUACUGGAUACGAAACUGGCCCGCAUGGGCAUGGUUUGGAAAGUUUUUCGGUUUGGGAUGGGCUCGCGGCCUAUCAGCUUGUUGGUGAGGUAAUGGCUCACCAAGGCGACGACGGGUAGCCGGCCUGAGAGGGCGACCGGCCACACUGGGACUGAGACACGGCCCAGACUCCUACGGGAGGCAGCAGUGGGGAAUAUUGCACAAUGGGCGAAAGCCUGAUGCAGCGACGCCGCGUGAGGGAUGACGGCCUUCGGGUUGUAAACCUCUUUCAGCAGGGAAGAAGCGAAAGUGACGGUACCUGCAGAAGAAGCACCGGCUAACUACGU